ACUCCUACGGGAGGCAGCAGUGGGGAAUUUUGGACAAUGGGCGAAAGCCUGAUCCAGCAAUGCCGCGUGAGUGAAGAAGGCCUUCGGGUUGUAAAGCUCUUUUGUCAGGGAAGAAACGGUGAAAGCUAAUAUCUUUUGCUAAUGACGGUACCUGAAGAAUAAGCACCGGCUAACUACGUGCCAGCAGCCGCGGUAAUACGUAGGGUGCAAGCGUUAAUCGGAAUUACUGGGCGUAAAGCGUGCGCAGGCGGUUUUGUAAGUCUGAUGUGAAAUCCCCGGGCUCAACCUGGGAAUUGCAUUGGAGACUGCAAGGCUAGCAUCUGGCAGAGGGGGGUAGAAUUCCACGUGUAGCAGUGAAAUGCGUAGAUAUGUGGAGGAACACCGAUGGCGAAGGCAGCCCCCUGGGUCAAGAUUGACGCUCAUGCACGAAAGCGUGGGGAGCAAACAGGAUUAGAUACCCUGGUAGUCCC
Molecule: ribosomal RNA, 470 nt
Filed under: uncultured organism
Description: partial 16S ribosomal RNA
Rfam family: Bacterial small subunit ribosomal RNA
Source: RNAcentral